This 5562-nucleotide long non-coding RNA is filed under the name Lynx pardinus (Iberian lynx). The record is from RNAcentral. Lineage: Eukaryota; Metazoa; Chordata; Mammalia; Carnivora; Felidae.
CAACUCAUCUUUAUAUCCUCAGCACCUAGCCCAGUGCCAGAUAUAUGGUAAAUAUUCAUGCUUAUUGAGCUGAAAAAGAAUAGCUCGCAUUCAUAUACUAUUUUGUAAAAAUCGUUACACUAAUCAAUGGCUCUACUUAGUUCUUCAUUCUUCAAAUAUUUUUCAGAUGACCACGCUUAAUGCUGAUGAUGCAGAAAGACAAGACAGAAUGGCUCUUCUCUGGCAGUUGUUUAACGGUGGGUUGGAGUGAAUGGGGCUGGUGCAUAAAUGGAGGGUAAAACUGGACACUUGGGACCCAGCGUAUCCAGGCGAGAGAGCAUGAGCUCCUGGUGUAAAACAGGGGCAACUGGAAGAAAGAGGAAGGGAUGAAUUCAAGAGAGAACUAGGAUAUGGAAAUAGUGAGAAACAGGAGAGCAAGGUGUCUCCCAUGACUCCCCGGUUUCUGUCUGAGAAGACGUGGGAGGAGCAGAAUUUCUCAUCAGCUCAUCUGAUCCUAACAUUCCUCAACAUCACAAAAUACAACCCCUUCCUUUAAGGGAUGCAGACACUGAGGCUGAGAGGGAACAGAUCAACUGCUCCAAGCCUCAUAAAUCAGGAGCUGGCAGAGCUGGUAUCAGAAUCGCAGGCCAUACCGUCUGGCUACGAUGCCCUCUCUUCAGCUUCCAUUAUGCAGCCUGGCAAACCCCCUGGGCAGUGAGGAGUGAGGAAGGGCCUUGGAGCAUCCCUGUGACUUCUCUAUGGUGUCACCUCACUCCCUUGAGUGGUCAGAUAGCAAACCAGCCUGUCGCCCUAUCUGGAUGUACAACUGAACUUCAUAAACGACCCAGGAGUCAUUCACUUCCUUUCCAAGAAGCUACAGAGAGUGAAGCAGAUUUGCUGUGCUUUCAGUUGGUUGUCCUAGAUGGGAAAAGGAGGGACAUUUAUUUGCAGUCAGAGAGGGAGAAUGUUAAUUGGUAAAAACGAAAGUACAUUUUCCCCCAAAGUGUGAGGUCAUCCUCUUCCUAUUUUUAAUUCAGAAGUGCCCUACAUGGAAUCAGUGUUCCCUUUCAAGUAAAUGACAACAUUUGACUUGUUGUCCUUUAAAGCCUGCCCACCCAUCCCCUUCCUGCUCUCUCUGCUGACCACAGUUAUUAACCCCGGCAGCAUGAAUCAAGGAAUUCUAGCAACCUGAGCCCUCUCUGUAACCUGGCAGUUGUCCAGCAACUGGUAAGGAGAGAACUGCUUUCUCUUUCUUGCUCUGAGAUGGACCUGGAAGCGGGAACCAGGAACCAGGAACCCAAACCCACCUCUGGUCUCCCACAUCAUUUUCCAAGUCCCUCUUUGUCUGCCUCUCAGCUCUCAUUGUCUUGACUGUCUUAACAUGGCCCCUAAGUUGAGGUGACCCACAGACUGCUAACCUGUCUUCGAGGGCACCUGUUCACGUAGCUCGACCUUUGCCUGGGUCUCAGUUUCUGAUUUUUUUUUUUCUUUUUUGACAAUGCUGCUGCCCCCAGACCAGCUGGGCUCACGUUUAAUUCAUCUCAGGGCUAAUUCUAGCCAGGUUAGGGAAGGGGCAUGGCAACCUUGGCCUCCCACCCCAGGCCUUCCUGCUGUCACGGUGACUAAGGAAUGGUGGGGGACAAUGGUUUGUGUCCCCCUCCCUGCCCCAAGCUCAGGGCAGUCAUGCCAGCCUCCAGCACCUGUUCCCAAAGAGCAUCCUCAUAGGACACACUAAUGGCAGAAACACAGGUACGAGGCCAGUGGGAAAGAGGCAUGGAGAUGCCUUGCAAGCAGGCAAGGAGAAACAUGCAAGCAUCAGGAUGCUCCUUUCCCUCACUUGCAAGGGUCAGGAUUGAUCCUAAUACCUGGUAUAUGCCGGUUAUUCCACUAUCUUCCAGGUGGGCACACCAAGACUGACGUCCCACAGCAGAGAGGUCCAGUGCCUCUGAGUCUUCGCUCCUGCUGUUCCCUCCGUGUGACUUGUGCUGCCUUCUUAUCAUCACCUCAGUUUCUGAAUUCUUAUCUAAGCCCUCCAGGACACUUAUUUUUCUAGCACCUCCCCCCACUCCCUGUCUUGCAGGACUGCCCUCCCGUUAACCACUUAGCACAGUGGCAGAGUGGUUACCAGGUGAUUCAAGUGGAAUUUAGAGCUCUGCAAAACACAAGUGCUCAACAUGUGUCAGGUCUUUUGACUCCUGCUUGACUCUGAGCCUUGCUCAUCCUGGAGGUUUACUUCAUGCACCAUUUGGGACAUCUUCAAACUGGGGUUUCAGGCAGCCCUCGCCAUCCUAGAAUGAGUCUCGGAUGGGGGGCUAAAUCUGAGGUCGGCUGGGCUCUGACCCAACACCUGACUUAGUCCAGUGGGAGGGUAGUUCUAAGGCCAGGCCUCGGCCCCUACCCCCACCCUAGCCAAGUUCAGCUGUGAUUUGAGAAUCAUGACUUCCUGGGUCUCAAGGGGAUGGCAAUCAGAUCUUUGCCAGAUGGCGAGGCAGCUGGAUGCUACUUUUGCAUAAAAUCACUACAGAGUCUGUAACCAUUAGAACUACCAUUUUCAUGGAAGCCAGCUCAACCUUGUUAAUUGAGCAAAUUUGGAGCAGCUCCAAACAUCCAUCCAGUUGAUGAAAUUGGUGCUCUCCAAGCAUGCCACAUCAUUUUGAGUCCAAAUUCAAAGUUUAAUCUCCAUUGGUGGUGUCCUGAGAAUUGUCGUCCUGAGCAUUGGGAGACGGCACAGGAAAUAUCGACGGUCACCCCUUCAUCAUCAGAUUGUGAUUUCUGAACUAACAUUCCUGGCCAGAAAAAGUUGGAAGAGGCUAAAACUGUCUCUUAGCUCACAUUUUUUUUGCAAUUUAAAAUCAAUGAUAUAAUUAGAUUUCCGUAUCCUACUGCUUAAUCCUUUGUUUAGAUUCCAUGCUUUCAAUUAUUCGUAUCACCUUGGGUUUCCAGUUUGGGCAAUUAAGAGUUGCCACCUUGCACAGGAGACUCCCGAUGUCCCUGGUGGAAGGUCACGGUGAUGUCUAGCAGCCUAGGCUGGUCCCACUCCACUGGCUUCCAGAGCUCUGCUUGCCCUUGGGUGUUUGCUGUCGGCUGGGCUGUGUUGCAUAAGGUCAGAGCCUGGAGCUGCCACAUCCACAGCUCUGUCCCCAGCACUGACUCAGUGCCUGGCACUCAGAAACUGCAGAAUAGAUAUUUAUUGAGUGAAUGCCUCGAGAGCAAUCAGCGGCUGUGUAAUGGAGUUCUUUGUCCUUUUCUACAGCAAGUGGAUCUCAAAGGUCAGGAAUGAGAAGAUGAAAACGGAAUUGAAGCAGAUUAAAUCAAGGCACAACAUUGUCACCCAUGGUACAUGUACAUCUGCACCCAGGGUUCUGCUCAGAGAACCCUCACAGAGCUUCUUUCUCUCUGCGCCACCUUUUUAAAAUCUUUAUUUAUUUAUGGGGAGGGGGGGCAGAGAGACAAAGGGGGAGACCCAGAAUCCAAAGCAGGCUCCAGGCUCUGAGCUGUCAACACAGAGCCUGAUGCAGGGCUUAAACUCAUGAACCUCGAGAUCAUGACCUGAGCCAAAGUCGGCCACUUGACCAACCGAGCCACCCAGGUGCCCCUCUCUCUGCUUUUAAAAGAAAACUGGACAGUCUCCUGCAGUUCCAAAGUAGAGUGGAAAAAAAAAAAAAAAAGCAGUGGAGAGAGGGGAGUUCAGAAGGAAAAGUCCAAACACCCUCUUCCCUAUAGUAAUAUUAAAAACAGUAAAAACAAUAAGGUUAAAUUGUAUUCAAGCACUUUCCAUGUGUCAGCAACUGUACUGUACAUUUAUUAUUUUAUUAAUCUUCGCAACAAGCUUAUGAGACAGAUAUUAUUAUCAUGCCUAUUUGUGGAUGAAAAAUAGGAGCUUGAAGAAUUUAAAUAAUUUGCUGAAGCUGGUAGUUAGGGAAGCUGGAAUCCACCCCAGGUUUGUCUGAGUUUAGCCACAGCCACAUAAGUGUUGUGUCUUUGUUCUUUGCUGGUUUCAGUAUUUAAGAACAAGGUGCAAGUCUCAUGAGUUGUUUCACUCAGAACACCUGGCUCAGGGUCAUGCAUAUCAUGUGGAGAUAAUAAAUAUUUGUUGAUUUGGAAGUAGAGAUAGUCAAAAGGCACUAGGAUAGGGUUAUCACACUUGAAAAUAAGCACACAUGAAAGGAAAUUCCAAAGCCAACUAAGGGAAAGCAGAGUGGUAAGUGGUCUUGCAGCUCACAAAAGACACAAUGUAUCAUUAAAGGUGUUUGGCAUUCUUAGCAUUAAGUCAAAAGAGCAUUUUAAAGUGGCUCCAACGUCUCCCUGCUUAAGUUUUUCUUUCCAUUGGUUGUAUGGACUGAAUUGUGUCCCCCUGAAAUUUAUAUGUUGAAGUCUCACCCUCAACGUGACUCUAUUUGCAAACGGAGAAUUCAGGGAGGUAAUUCAGGUUCAGUAAGAUAGAAGGGUGGGACCCUAAUGCAAUAAGAAGAGGAAAUACACCUCUCUCUCUCUCUCUUUUUAGAUUGCUUCUUAAACUGCUUUAUUACCUUUACAGCAUGUAAUAAACAUCUUUUCCUGCAAGUUGAUGAAACUUCCCUGACAGAAAAACUUCCAGAGUAAGGCAAAAUGGAAUCUCUAAUCAGAAAAAUGACAUAACACCAUAGGUUCACAUCAAGAAAAUGCAACUUCGGGAAGCAGGGGGGUUAUUAUUACUAAUCUCAGCAUUGGAGGCAUAAGGCAAAACUCAUCAUGAUGGUCACGGUGAGGGGGAUCCCCUAUAAGAAUGGGCAAACUGUACCACAACUGAAGCUCCCUGAUUUCCUCCUUAGCCGCCUCAUGUCAUCCGUGAAAAGUUCCGUAUCAUCUGUGUCUCCAUCUGUCAUGUCAACGUUAUUGACAAGCUUGUUGGGCAUAUCCUCUCUACCAUCAUGGACAGGUGGGGCCAAAUCCACUCUAAUAUUUCCUCCAGGCUCCUGGCCUUCACCACCUCCCAAAGGGUGGGCUUCUUCUUCAUUCUGCACUGGAGCCUGCCUUUCUCCUUCUCUUUCCCGGAGGACAUUUUCCAUGUUGAAACUUUUUUCCUGCUUACUUUUCCUGCAGGGAUCCAACAGAGUCUUUCUCUCUUAGCCUUGAAAUCUGCUGUGCCAAUGGACCUGAAUUUCUUGAACGCAAAUGGAUGACUUGCUGGGCGGGGGAGUCAAAACCACUUGCUGGAUGGUGACGUGGUUUCUUUAUAAGGAAUUUCAACAUGGCUGGGACCCAACAGCUCACCCUCCUUUCUCUGCCCACCAUUUUUAUCAACACCUCUCUUUUUCUCUCUGCUUAAACACAGAGAAGGACAUGUGAGGAGACAGUAAGAAGAUUGGUCAUCUACAAGAAAAAGCAAGCAAGGUCUCACCAGGAACUGAAUUUUCUAGCACCUUGAUUUUAGACUUUCAGCCUCCAGAAUGGUGACAGAAUACAUUUAUGUUGUUGAAGCCUCCCAGUCAGUGGUACUUAUUAUGACAGUCUAAGCAGACUAAUAUAACAGACCACCCUACAUUGUAUUAUCAGAAUUAUAUGCAUACAACAAUAAAUUCAUCUCAUGCUUUAAAAAUCUUC